RNAcentral lists this small nucleolar RNA (156 nucleotides) under Zalophus californianus (California sea lion). The record is from RNAcentral. Lineage: Eukaryota; Metazoa; Chordata; Mammalia; Carnivora; Otariidae.
CCUGCACAUUGUUAGAGCUUAAGAGUUGAGGCCGCUGGCUGGCCGAUGAACUCACAAGUGUAGGUAGUGUGCUACAUGAGGGGCAAGUCUUUUCACUAACACCACAAGGGUCUCUGGCCCAAUGAGUGGAGUUUGAUAGUAAUUCUUGCUCCAAGC